CAGCAUGUUUGGUUGGGUGUAUUGGCUAUAAUCGGUGGGCCCCACUUAUUACGCCUCUAAUCCGUUGUUUGGUUCAAUGUAUUAUUAUUACGGAGCUAAACCAUUACUGACCUAAUCGGUGAAAUCAUCGAUUUCUAAUCCGUCCCUUUUGCUCAGUUUAGGUACUGCUUCACUUUACCCUCCCUGUUUUACCCUCUGCCUCUUCUGUUCCCCUUUGCCUCUUCUGUUUCGCCCGAUUUGCUCCCUCCGUUUCUUUUCUUUUCUUUUUUGCCGAUUUGCUCCCUUUGUUUCUCACAGUUUCUGCCGAUUUGCUCCCUCUGUUUCUUAUAGUUCUCCACACGCCCACAUCUCUACAAAAAUAACAACCUUCAAAGUCGGCAGGAUUUUAAGGCAUUUUUAUUUGAGCCCUGUUCUUCUCCUUUUUCCCAGACGUGGGGUUUCCAUUUCCCAGUUCUUCUCGUCCCUUUCUUAAAGUCGGCAUCUUCCUUUGCUUUCUCCAGUUUUCUCUUACCCAGCACCUUCUUCAAGGGUUUUGAGAGAGGCUGGGGUCGGAUGUUUAAAAUCUAUAUCUGAUAUGUACAACGAAUUAUUUUAUUUUGCUGUUCUUUUGGGCUUGAUAAUGGCUUUAAAGGUCACCAGCUUUUAGCAGUUCUGCUCAUUUACCUUCCGGCAAUUGACAUGACUUGAGUGGCAAAUGAACUACAGUUCCAUCAAACAUCGCUACUGCAAUUCUUGCUGCUCCCAAUUUGUCGAAUCCCAUGGCUACAGUUGUUGGUGCUGCUUCAAACCCAUUGUCCAAUCCCAUAGUUUCAAUGGUAGACGGUGUAUCCUCCAAGGCAUUUGAUGAAGUACUGAAAGCAACACCACCUGCUUUGUCAGCAUUUUUGGCUGGCUUGCCUUCUAUCGAGGGUUCAUGCCAUGGGGGCAAAGCUAGAAUCAAAAAAUGAAAAAAGAACCUCAUUGAGGAAGAAAAUUCAGAGAAUAAGGUAAGAAAACCAAAAAAUAUUGCAACUGAGAGAAUAUACAGAGCUAUGUUUCUCCGACUCUUCAUUUUGCUUGAAGUAUCCCUUUUUUAUACCCCUGUCAGAGUCUUCAUUUUUCUUAAAGUAUCUGGUUUCAACACCCAUGCCCGACGAUGAAAGAACCUCUUUGAGAAAGUUAUACAAUAGAUUUUUUUGGAAAAUAUUUGAAGUGAAAAUUUUCAUCAUAGUUUCUGUCAAGAAUACAUUAAAUGGUAUAUGUACAUGUCCACACACAAAACCAUGUUACUUGGGUUCGGGGAAAGUGUCGAAUAAGGAUAUGGGUAUGGGAUGUGAUCCUUGUUUGAUACCCAUGUGGAUGCAUGUUUGGCCAUCGGUAUGGGAUAUGAUCCUUAAAGGAUUCUUCAAAUAUACAGAAAAACUUAGAGAAAACCGAAUAUUUCCAUAUCUGACACAUAUUCGUAUCUUGAUAUCCUUAUUUUUCAGGGUUUGUUCUUAUUUGAAUAGCCUUUGUUGUAGCUAUUUGCAAAAUCCUGGUGAUGAACACCUAAGCCUUCAGGUGACAGAGAUAGAUCCCUGGCCCUAAAGAACUCCCUUACCUAUGCAAAGGAUAAGUCACCGCAGCUAGAUGAUGGUGAUUCAGGAUUUCCUCCCCGUGACGAUGAUGGUGGUGGAGGUGACGAGGGAGGUGGUGGGGGCAACUGGUCAGGUGAAUUCUUCCUUUUCGGAUUCCUCGCGUUUCUAGGCUUCCUAAAGGAUAAAGAAAGCGAAGAAGAUUACCGGGACAGCCGAAGAAGAUGAUGAGAGAUUCUCUACAUAUUGAUAACAUUUUUAAAACCUAUAUUGCAUGUUGUUCUUCAUGUUAUAUACUUUUGAGAACCCAUUGCAUAUCGUUCUUCAUGAUAUAUUUCUAUUUUUGGAACCAA
Molecule: RNA transcript, 1906 nt
Organism: Gossypium raimondii (Peruvian cotton)
Lineage: Eukaryota; Viridiplantae; Streptophyta; Magnoliopsida; Malvales; Malvaceae
Gene name: protein YELLOW LEAF 1, choloroplastic
Exons: 5
Source: RefSeq, a predicted model, not a curated record